This 1560-nucleotide unclassified non-coding RNA is filed under the name Acer cissifolium. Its description in RNAcentral is "external transcribed spacer". The record is from RNAcentral. Lineage: Eukaryota; Viridiplantae; Streptophyta; Magnoliopsida; Sapindales; Sapindaceae.
AGGUGUCCGCUGCGAAAUGGGAUGCCCGGUGCCUAUGCCAUGCUUCCCCCCCGCUCCGUCUAUGAUGGGGGCCAUGGCAUAGGCACCACCCGGUCGUCGGGCUUGCUUGUCGGUUUGGUGGUCUCCGACCAUCAAUCCGACCGUCAAUCCGGCGAUCACGGUCUGGUGGGCUAGUAGUGCUGUGUUGAAUUUUUUCGAGGGGAGAGGGACGGUUUAUCUCGGAUUUUGAUUUUCCAACGUAUUCAAAGGGCAAGCGUGAGCAUGGCUUCGGUUUUGGGAUCGUUGAAACGGAGAAUACUACGGUCGGGUCAAGAUCAAAGGUUUUCAAAAAUAUUUCAAAAAUCGUUGGUUUUCAAAACUUUUUGUCCCUGUCCCUGAGAUUAUUCAUUAUGCUCCAAAUCGAAACAUUCCAAAAAAAAUGCGGAAGAACUAGCAUGCUUCGGCUUGUGCUAACUUGAUGCAUCAAACGGUUUGUUACGGUGGGUUGGGUAUGGUGGAGAAUCGUUGGUUUUUAAAAAAUUAUGCCCCGUCGGAAAUUUUGUCCCUUGGUCUGGUGGGUUAGUAGUGCUGCGUUGAUCUUUCUCGAGAGGAGAGGGACGGUUCAUCUUGGAUUUUGCUUUUCCAACGUAUUCGAAGGGCAAGCGUGAGCAUGGCUUCGGCCGUGGGAUCGUUGAAACGGAGAAUACUGCGGUCGGGUCUAGAUCUGAGUUUUAACCUCUCGGGGGAGCACAACGCUGUCUUUACUUUCUCGUUUGGCCAUCAAAGGUUUUCAAAAAUAUUUCAAAAAUCGUUGGUUUUCAAAACUUUUUGUCCCUGUCCCUGAGAUUAUUCAUUAUGCUCCAAAUCGAAACAUUCCAAAAAAAAUGCGGAAGAACUAGCAUGCUUCGGCUUGUGCUAACUUGAUGCAUCAAACGGUUUGUUGCGGUGAGUUGGGCAUAGUGGAGAAUCGUUGGUUUUUGAAAAUUUUGUCCCUGUCCCUCGGAUUGUGUGUUUCUUCAUGUGAAGCGGUGCUGGUGUGGCCCUUCUUGAUGUUUCCGCAUGCUCAACGGUUCUAGUAAUCGUUGGGUUGUGGUUCGUUUGGUUGGGUCGUCAUCAAGUGUACGCAACUCACGUGUGAGUGGUGGUUGGAUGGCAUGGGUCUGCAAGCUCCUUGCUCAGCGCAACGAAUUGUAAACUCUCCAUCCUUUUCAUAGUCUUCCCCAAGCAUGGUCAUUUGCCUUGUGGGUAAGAUCGGUAUCCUGUGUUUUUUACCAAUUGAAUGGAAUUCGAUUGUUUUCGUUUCUCUAUUCGUCCGGUUCCUUUAGGGGUGUUGGGUGGACAAUAGGCUGACCUCGUGUUCCAGGUACAUCUCGCAUUUUUGUGUGGUUACCAUGGCCCAUGGAGUUAUGCUUGCUCUCUUGGAUGCGGAUCGUUAGUUGUGGGCGAGGGGUUACGACCUCCAUUCGUCCAAGCUAUUAUGCAUUUGUCAAUUGACACGAACGACUGCUGCACUCGUCUUGGCUUUUUACAGUUGAAUGGCUGUACAAUGUCCAUGCGAGCGUCGGUGUCGUGAAGGAAUGC